GGUUUUCUGCUUGUUUAUCUCUUUUUUAGGGAAGGAGCUAAGUUCUUGGAUUGGUUGGUUUCUUAGACGGUUCCUCACCGAGAUAGUCAGGGCCAAGUACGUGUCCAGCAGACGUGGUAAUAUGUAGGCUGGCUAGCGUUGUCGGGAAUUAUAGGGCGUAAAGCGCGCGCUGCGGUUUGUUAAGUCUGAUGUGAAAGCCCCGGCUCUACCGGGGGAGGGUCAUUGGGGAUUGGGGAACUUGAGUGCAGCAGAGGAGAGUGGACUUACACGUGAAGCGGUGAAAUGAGUAUAGAUUUGGCGGAACACCUUCGUCGAAGGCGACUCUCUUUUCGUAACCGACGUUGAGUCCCGAUAGUUUUUGGGGGAACAGGUUCACAUAUCUCGAUUGUCCAUCCCGUAUCGGCGAGUGCUAAGUGUUAGAGGGUUUCCACCCUUCAGUGCUGCAGCUAACGCCUUAAACACUCGGCCUGGGGAGUCCGGUUGCAAGACUUAAAGUCAAAGGAAUGGAAGGGGGCCCGCACAAGCGGUGGAGCAUGUGGUUUAUUUGGACCAAUGCGAAGGACCUUACCAGGUCCUGACCUCCUAGACAACCCUCAGAAAGGUUUCCCCUUCGGGGGCAGAGUGACAGGUGGUGUUUGGCCUUGUCAAAGAUUGUUUGAGAUGUUGGGUUAAGUCCCGCAACGAGCUCAACCCUCCCAGUUUUUGCCAGCAUUCAGUUGGGCACUCUAAGGUGACUGCCGUUGACAAACCGGAGGAAGGUGGGGAUGAGUCAAAUCAUCGUGCCCCUUAUAACUUGGGCUACACGCCUCCUACAAUGGGCAGACCAAAGGGUUCAGAAGCCGUGAGGGUAAACCAAUCCCACACAUGAUUCUCAGUUUGGAUCGCAGUGGCAACUCGAGUGCGGAAGCGGAAUCGCUAGAAUCGAGAAGCCUUCGCUUCUCU
Molecule: ribosomal RNA, 942 nt
Filed under: uncultured Bacillus sp.
Lineage: Bacteria; Bacillati; Bacillota; Bacilli; Caryophanales; Bacillaceae
Description: bacterial SSU rRNA
Rfam family: Bacterial small subunit ribosomal RNA
Source: RNAcentral